GUGCAGAGCUGCUGUCAUGGCGGCCGCUCUGUGGGGCUUCUUUCCCGUCCUGCUGCUGCUGCUGCUAUCGGGGGAUGUCCAGAGCUCGGAGAUGGGAGUUUUGUGGUUCAUGAUAUACCUUCUGGAUCUUAUGUAGUGGAAGUUGUAUCUCCAGCUUACAGAUUUGAUCCCGUUCGAGUGGAUAUCACUUCGAAAGGAAAAAUGAGCAAGAUAUGUGAAUUACAUCAAAACAUCAGAGGUUGUCAGACUGCCCUAUCCUCUCCAAAUGAAAUCUUCAGGUCCACCUUCUUACUUUAUUAAAAGGGAAUCGUGGGGCUGGACAGACUUUCUAAUGAACCCAAUGGUUAUGAUGAUGGUUCUUCCUUUAUUGAUAUUUGUGCUUCUGCCUAAAGUGGUCAACACAAGUGAUCCUGACAUGAGACGGGAAAUGGAGCAGUCAAUGAAUAUGCUGAAUUCCAACCAUGAGUUGCCUGAUGUUUCUGAGUUCAUGACAAGACUCUUCUCUUCAAAAUCAUCUGGCAAAUCUAGCAGCGGCAGCAGUAAAACAGGCAAAAGUGGGGCUGGCAAAAGGAGGUAGUCAGGCCGUCCAGAGCUGGCAUUUGCACAAACACGGCAACACUGGGUGGCAUCCAAGUCUUGGAAAACCGUGUGAAGCAACUACUAUAAACUUGAGUCAUCCCGACGUUGAUCUCUUACAACUGUGUAUGUUAACUUUUUAGCACAUGUUUUGUACUUGGUACACGAGAAAACCCAGCUUUCAUCUUUUGUCUGUAUGAGGUCAAUAUUGAUGUCACUGAAUUAAUUACAGUGUCCUAUAGAAAAUGCCAUUAAUAAAUUAUAUGAACUACUAUACAUUAUGUAUAUUAAUUAAAACAUCUUAAUCCA
This 885-nucleotide long non-coding RNA is filed under the name Homo sapiens (human). RNAcentral describes it as "long non-coding RNA NONHSAT171424.1". The record is from RNAcentral. Lineage: Eukaryota; Metazoa; Chordata; Mammalia; Primates; Hominidae.